GACGGACGCUGGCGGCGUGCUUAACACAUGCAAGUCGAACGAUGACGACCGAGCUUGCUCGGUCUGAUUAGUGGCGAACGGGUGAGUAACACGUGAGCAACCUGCCCUUCACUCUGGGAUAACCUAGGGAAAUCGGGGCUAAUACCGGAUAUGAGCUCCUGUCGCAUGGCGGGUGUUGCAAAGUUUUUCGGUGCAGGAUGGGCGCGCGGCCUAUCAGUUUGUUGGUGAGGUAGUGGCUCACCAAGGCGAUGACGGGUAGCCGGCCUGGGAGGGCGACCGGCCACACUGGGACUGAGACACGGCCCAGACUCCUACGGGAGGCAGCAGUGGGGAAUAUUGCACAAUGGGCGAAAGCCUGAUGCAGCGACGCCGCGUGAGGGAUGACGGCCUUCGGGUUGUAAACCUCUUUCAGCAGGGAAGAAGCGAAAGUGACGGUACCUGCAGAAGAAGCGCCGGCUAACUACGUG
Molecule: ribosomal RNA, 467 nt
Filed under: uncultured bacterium
Lineage: Bacteria
Description: partial 16S ribosomal RNA
Rfam family: Bacterial small subunit ribosomal RNA
Source: RNAcentral